This is a long non-coding RNA of Saccostrea echinata, 249 nucleotides long. RefSeq lists it as uncharacterized. The record is from RefSeq and is a predicted model, not a curated record. Lineage: Eukaryota; Metazoa; Mollusca; Bivalvia; Ostreida; Ostreidae. The transcript has 3 exons.
UGUUUCUCUGUUAAAUGUGCUCUGUUUGUCUGGAUAAUUCCACUUGAACCGUCAGCGGCGGACUAUAACAGAUCAUAAUCGCAGUUGUUUGGUGCAAGACCAUAGAAUGGUACCCAGUUUUGCCUGCCCUCAUCAGUCAUCACAAUAUAAAGGAUUUUACAUUUAGAAGACAAUCCUGCAAAUUUGCAGCUGUAGAAAUUGCACUUCAUCUCAUCUGCUGCUGGAAUAAAUAAUGAGAGAUUUUCAAAC